Molecule: ribosomal RNA, 251 nt
Filed under: uncultured bacterium
Lineage: Bacteria
Description: partial 16S ribosomal RNA
Rfam family: Bacterial small subunit ribosomal RNA
Source: RNAcentral
UACGUAGGGUGCAAGCGUUAAUCGGAAUUACUGGGCGUAAAGCGUGCGCAGGCGGCUAUGCAAGACAGAUGUGAAAUCCCCGAGCUCAACCUGGGAACUGCGUUUGAAACUACAGGACUAGAAUAUGUCAGAGGGGGGUAGAAUUCCACGUGUAGCAGUGAAAUGCGUAGAGAUGUGGAGGAAUACCAAUGGCGAAGGCAGCCCCCUGGGAUAAUAUUGACGCUCAUGCACGAAAGCGUGGGGAGCAAACG